AUGCUCUGGUUUCUCUUCAGAACGAACAAAUCUAUCGCCUUUUACUAAAGGUUUCCAUGAAGAGGAGAAAAACUAAGUUUUGGCUCAAAUAUGCUUAAUGGGGUUACAUAAUCUCAG
Pseudophryne corroboree (corroboree frog) is the source of this 117-nucleotide small nuclear RNA. RefSeq annotates it as U5 spliceosomal RNA. The transcript has a single exon. Lineage: Eukaryota; Metazoa; Chordata; Amphibia; Anura; Myobatrachidae. The record is from RefSeq and is a predicted model, not a curated record.